UACAUCUACAUCUAACACUUCGAAGCUCUACAUCUAACUACAAGCUUACUAGCUUGAUGGUUACUGCGAGUGGCUUUAAUUGUUUUAUAAUCAAGCAGGUAGAUUGUCUAGUGUGCGCUUCCUUGUAUACUGAAGCCUCGUUCACACCAGACACGGCAUAAAAUUACCGUACAGUAAUUUAACGCAAACAUCGCAGUCAAUCUACGCAAAAAACGCAAUCAAUCUUCCGCAUCUUCAUAACCAGUAUCGCAAAGAUGGAGGAGAGCCUCAUUUUGCUAGUGUCUAGCCACCCUUGUUUGUAUGACACUACCUCGGACGUUUACCGAGACCUAAAUGUUAAAAAUGCUGCGUGGAAAAGUGUAGCCAUGCAAGCAAAGAUGCCAGAAGACGACUGUAGGAAGAAAUGGAGAAACCUCAGGGACAGAUACAUAAAAGAGAAAAGAGCAGAGAAGGAGAAAAAGAGGAGUGGGGCUGCAGCCAGCAGCCACCGUCCUUGGCGGGGAGGAGAGAGGAGAGGAGAGCAGAAGAGCGGAAGAUGAGAUUAGAGAAGAGAACAUUGAGCUAGAAAAUGUUACUGUCCAUGAGGAACCCAUGUCUGAUGAAGACUCAUCUUCAGCCACAAGCUCUUCACAAGCUACCAGACCCAGACCCCAUACACGGAGGCAUCGGACAGGACAAGCCACCCCCAACAUGACGCCAUUUCAGCAGCGCCUCCUGACUGCCAUUGAGGUAGAAGCCACCAUUCCACCAAGACCCGAUGAUGAGGAUGAGCUUUUUGCUAAAACCAUCGUGCCCUCACUAAAAAGACUACCAACACAGAAGAAGGCUUAUGUAAAAAUGCAAAUUCUCCAGCUGCUUUAUGAUGCAGAAUUUAAUUAGAUUAUAUGAAAAUAUGACGUCCCAGGAUUUCCUUCUACAUGGUGCAACUGUUCCAGCCCUGCAUCACACCCACCCACACACACACACACACACAUAGAACCACAUCACAUAAACUCAUUCAAUAAAGUGCUUUUUUG
Long non-coding RNA from Esox lucius (northern pike), 1016 nucleotides. RefSeq lists it as uncharacterized. NCBI's taxonomy places the organism in Eukaryota, Metazoa, Chordata, Actinopteri, Esociformes, Esocidae. The record is from RefSeq and is a predicted model, not a curated record. The transcript is spliced from 3 exons.